Molecule: ribosomal RNA, 1427 nt
Filed under: Listeria booriae
Lineage: Bacteria; Bacillati; Bacillota; Bacilli; Caryophanales; Listeriaceae
Description: partial 23S ribosomal RNA
Rfam family: Bacterial large subunit ribosomal RNA
Source: RNAcentral
GAGCUGUACGUAAGCGUUGAUCCAGAGAUUUCCGAAUGGGGGAACCCACUAUCUUUAGUCGGAUAGUAUCCUUACGUGAAUACAUAGCGUAAGGAAGGCAGACCCAGGGAACUGAAACAUCUAAGUACCUGGAGGAAGAGAAAGAAAAAUCGAUUUCCUGAGUAGCGGCGAGCGAAACGGAAAGAGCCCAAACCAAGAAGCUUGCUUCUUGGGGUUGUAGGACACUCUAUACGGAGUUACAAAGGAAUGUGGUAAACGAAGUGGUCUGGAAAGGCCCGCCAAAGAAGGUAACAGCCCUGUAAUUGAAAGCAUAUUCCCUCCAGAGUGGAUCCUGAGUACGGCGGAACACGUGAAAUUCCGUCGGAAUCCGGGAGGACCAUCUCCCAAGGCUAAAUACUCCCUAGUGACCGAUAGUGAACCAGUACCGUGAGGGAAAGGUGAAAAGCACCCCGGAAGGGGAGUGAAACAGUUCCUGAAACCGUGUGCCUACAAGUAGUUAGAGCCCGUUAAUGGGUGAUAGCGUGCCUUUUGUAGAAUGAACCGGCGAGUUACGAUUUGUUGCAAGGUUAAGCGGAAAAAGCGGAGCCGUAGCGAAAGCGAGUCUGAAUAGGGCGCAUGAGUAACAGGUCGUAGACCCGAAACCAGGUGAUCUACCCAUGUCCAGGAUGAAGGUGAGGUAAUACUCACUGGAGGUCCGAACCCACGCACGUUGAAAAGUGCGGGGAUGAGGUGUGGGUAGCGGAGAAAUUCCAAUCGAACCUGGAGAUAGCUGGUUCUCUCCGAAAUAGCUUUAGGGCUAGCCUCGAGGUAAAGAGUCGUGGAGGUAGAGCACUGUUUGGACUAGGGGCCCUUCUCGGGUUACCGAAUUCAGAUAAACUCCGAAUGCCAUGUACUUAUACUCGGGAGUCAGACUGCGAGUGAUAAGAUCCGUAGUCGAAAGGGAAACAGCCCAGACCACCAGUUAAGGUCCCAAAAUAUAUGUUAAGUGGAAAAGGAUGUGGGGUUGCAUAGACAACCAGGAUGUUGGCUUAGAAGCAGCCACCAUUGAAAGAGUGCGUAAUAGCUCACUGGUCGAGUGACCCCGCGCCGAAAAUGUACCGGGGCUAAACAUAUUACCGAAACUGUGGAUGAACCUCUUAGGAGGUUCGUGGUAGGAGAGCGUUCUAAGGGCGGUGAAGUCAGACCGGAAGGACUGGUGGAGCGCUUAGAAGUGAGAAUGCCGGUAUGAGUAGCGAAAGAAGGGUGAGAAUCCCUUCCACCGAAUAUCUAAGGUUUCCUGAGGAAGGCUCGUCCGCUCAGGGUUAGUCGGGACCUAAGCUGAGGCCGAUAGGCGUAGGCGAUGGACAACAGGUAGAUAUUCCUGUACCAGUGCUAGUUGUUUGAGCAAUGGGGUGACACAGAAGGAUAGGGAAUCGCACAGAUGGAAA